RNAcentral lists this unclassified non-coding RNA (170 nucleotides) under uncultured Sebacina. RNAcentral describes it as "sequence contains ITS1". Lineage: Eukaryota; Fungi; Basidiomycota; Agaricomycetes; Sebacinales; Sebacinaceae. The record is from RNAcentral.
UUGAUUGCGAAUCGUCGCCGUCAGUGCUGGCCGGCUUCGGCAUGUGCACGUCGGUGACUUUCAUCCAAUACCCUGUGAACCUUUGGCCUCUUGCUAGCUUCGGCCGGCAGAGGAAUUUUACACAAACUCGAAUGUAAUGAAAUAUAUUGUCGUGCGCAAGCACUAAUGUA